Molecule: small nuclear RNA, 163 nt
Filed under: Dasypus novemcinctus (nine-banded armadillo)
Lineage: Eukaryota; Metazoa; Chordata; Mammalia; Cingulata; Dasypodidae
Description: U1 spliceosomal RNA (ENSDNOG00000028630.1)
Rfam family: U1 spliceosomal RNA
About the family: U1 is a small nuclear RNA (snRNA) component of the spliceosome (involved in pre-mRNA splicing).
Source: RNAcentral
GCACUUACCCGGCAGGGGAGAUUACAUGACCACAAAGGUGGUUUUCCCAGGGUGAGGCUUACCCAUUUUACUAUGGAUGUCUGACCACUGUGAUUUCCCCAAAUGUGGGAAACUCGACUACAUUGUUUGUGGUAGUGGGGGACUGUGUUUGCGCUUUCCCCUG